UACGGGAGGCAGCAGUGGGGAAUAUUGCACAAUGGGCGCAAGCCUGAUGCAGCCAUGCCGCGUGUAUGAAAAGGCCUUCGGGUUGUAAAGUACUUUCAGUCGUGAGGAAGGUGUUAAGGUUAAUAACCUUAGCAAUUGACGUUAGCGACAGAAGAAGCACCGGCUAACUCCGUGCCAGCAGCCGCGGUAAUACGGAGGGUGCGAGCGUUAAUCGGAAUUACUGGGCGUAAAGGGCACGCAGGCGGUUAAUUAAGUUGGAUGUGAAAUCCCCGGGCUUAACCUGGGAAUGGCAUUCAAGACUGGUUAGCUAGAGUCUUGUAGAGGGGGUAGAAUUCCAUGUGUAGCGGUGAAAUGCGUAGAGAUGUGGAGGAAUACCGGUGGCGAAGGCGGCCCCUGGACAAAGACUGACGCUCAUGUGCGAAAGCGUGGGGAGCAAACGAGGGAUUAGAUACC
Molecule: ribosomal RNA, 453 nt
Filed under: uncultured bacterium
Lineage: Bacteria
Description: bacterial SSU rRNA
Rfam family: Bacterial small subunit ribosomal RNA
Source: RNAcentral